AUUGAACGCUAGCGGGAUGCCUUACACAUGCAAGUCGAACGGCAGCGGGAAAGUAGCUUGCUACUUUUGCCGGCGAGUGGCGAACGGGUGAGUAAUGUAUCGGAACGUGCCCAGUAGCGGGGGAUAACUACGCGAAAGCGUGGCUAAUACCGCAUACGCCCUACGGGGGAAAGGGGGGGAUCUUAGGACCUCUCACUAUUGGAGCGGCCGAUAUCGGAUUAGCUAGUUGGUGGGGUAAAGGCCUACCAAGGCGACGAUCCGUAGCUGGUUUGAGAGGACGACCAGCCACACUGGGACUGAGACACGGCCCAGACUCCUACGGGAGGCAGCAGUGGGGAAUUUUGGACAAUGGGGGAAACCCUGAUCCAGCCAUCCCGCGUGUGCGAUGAAGGCCUUCGGGUUGUAAAGCACUUUUGUCAGGGAAGAAAAGGUUUCGGAUAAUACCCGGAACUGAUGACGGUACCUGAAGAAUAAGCACCGGCUAACUACGUGCCAGCAGCCGCGGUAAUACGUAGGGUGCAAGCGUUAAUCGGAAUUACUGGGCGUAAAGCGUGCGCAGGCGGUUCGGAAAGAAAGAUGUGAAAUCCCAGGGCUCAACCUUGGAACUGCAUUUUUAACUACCGAACUAGAGUAUGUCAGANGGGGGUGGAAUUCCACGUGUAGCAGUGAAUGCGUAGAUAUGUGGAGGAACACCGAUGGCGAARGCAGCCCCCUGGGAUAAUACUGACGCUCAUGCACGAAAGCGUGGGGAGCAAACARGAUUAGAUACCCUGGUAGUCCACGCCCUAAACGAUGUCAACUAGCUGUUGGGCCCUUCGGGGCUUAGUAGCGCAGCUAACGCGUGAAGUUGACCGCCUGGGGAGUACGGKCGCAGAUUAAAACUCAAAGGAAUUGACGGGGACCC
RNAcentral lists this ribosomal RNA (904 nucleotides) under uncultured Advenella sp. RNAcentral describes it as "bacterial SSU rRNA". It matches the Rfam family "Bacterial small subunit ribosomal RNA", at positions 28 to 922 of the family's 1533-position model. Lineage: Bacteria; Pseudomonadati; Pseudomonadota; Betaproteobacteria; Burkholderiales; Alcaligenaceae. The record is from RNAcentral.